Pelobates cultripes (western spadefoot toad) is the source of this 519-nucleotide non-coding RNA. The record is from the annotation of a GenBank genome assembly. Lineage: Eukaryota; Metazoa; Chordata; Amphibia; Anura; Pelobatidae.
GUCAUUGCCAACAAAUCUUAAUAAUGUUAACCUCCCCCAUAUACAUAACAUACCCCUAGCAAUGACCCCACAAUAAUAACAAUAGAUAACAAUCUAAAUAACAUGUUAACACAGAAACUGGCCGUCCAAUUUGACCACAUUUCCACCAGGUUAAAUUGUAGGGGUGUACCGAGACACCGCUACCCACCAUAUCGAUUGUAGGGGUGUACCAAGACACCGCUACCCACCAUAUCCAUUGUAGGGGUGUACCAAGACACCGCUACCCACCAUAUCCAUUGUAGGGGUGUACCAAGACACCGCUACCCACCAUAUCCAUUGUAGGGGUGUACCGAGACACUGCUACCCACCAUAUCAAUUGUAGGGGUGUACCAAGACACUGCUACCCACCAGUUCCAGUGUAGGGUGUACCAAGACACCACCACACCCCCAGGUUCGGAGCCACCGACGGGCUCGAACCUACCAACCACGUGCAACACUGCCCAAUCCACACUAAACCUCAGGAUGCCCACUUUCUCCUCC